GACGAACGCUGGCGGCGUGCUUAACACAUGCAAGUCGAACGAAGAGCGAUGGAAGCUUGCUUCUAUCAAUCUUAGUGGCGAACGGGUGAGUAACGCGUAAUCAACCUGCCCUUCAGAGGGGGACAACAGUUGGAAACGACUGCUAAUACCGCAUACGAUCUAAUCUCGGCAUCGAGGAUAGAUGAAAGGUGGCCUCUAUUUAUAAGCUAUCACUGAAGGAGGGGAUUGCGUCUGAUUAGCUAGUUGGAGGGGUAACGGCCCACCAAGGCGAUGAUCAGUAGCCGGUCUGAGAGGAUGAACGGCCACAUUGGGACUGAGACACGGCCCAGACUCCUACGGGAGGCAGCAGUGGGGAAUCUUCCGCAAUGGACGAAAGUCUGACGGAGCAACGCCGCGUGAGUGAUGACGGCCUUCGGGUUGUAAAGCUCUGUUAAUCGGGACGAAAGGCCUUCUUGCGAAUAGUUAGAAGGAUGACGGUACCC
This 482-nucleotide ribosomal RNA is filed under the name Veillonella dispar. RNAcentral's name for it is "bacterial SSU rRNA". It matches the Rfam family "Bacterial small subunit ribosomal RNA", at positions 28 to 480 of the family's 1533-position model. The record is from RNAcentral. Lineage: Bacteria; Bacillati; Bacillota; Negativicutes; Veillonellales; Veillonellaceae.